Molecule: ribosomal RNA, 465 nt
Filed under: Vreelandella stevensii
Lineage: Bacteria; Pseudomonadati; Pseudomonadota; Gammaproteobacteria; Oceanospirillales; Halomonadaceae
Description: partial 16S ribosomal RNA
Rfam family: Bacterial small subunit ribosomal RNA
Source: RNAcentral
CCUACGGGCGGCAGCAGUGGGGAAUAUUGGACAAUGGGGGCAACCCUGAUCCAGCCAUGCCGCGUGUGUGAAGAAGGCCCUCGGGUUGUAAAGCACUUUCAGUGAGGAAGAACGCCUGGUGGUUAAUACCCAUCAGGAAAGACAUCACUCACAGAAGAAGCACCGGCUAACUCCGUGCCAGCAGCCGCGGUAAUACGGAGGGUGCGAGCGUUAAUCGGAAUUACUGUGCGUAAAGCGCGCGUAGGUGGCUUGAUAAGCCGGUUGUGAAAGCCCCGGGCUCAACCUGGGAACGGCAUCCGGAACUGUCAAGCUAGAGUGCAGGAGAGGAAGGUAGAAUUCCCGGUGUAGCGGUGAAAUGCGUAGAGAUCGGGAGGAAUACCAGUGGCGAAGGCGGCCUUCUGGACUGACACUGACACUGAGGUGCGAAAGCGUGGGUAGCAAACAGGAUUAGAUACCCUUGUAGUC